AGUAACGGCGAGUGAAGCGGCAACAGCUCAAAUUUGAAAUCUGGCCCCUAGGGUCCGAGUUGUAAUUUGUAGAGGAUGCUUUUGGUGAGGUGCCGCCCGAGUUCCCUGGAACGGGACGCCACAGAGGGUGAGAGCCCCGUCUGGCUGGCCACCGAGCCUCUGUAAAGCUCCUUCGACGAGUCGAGUUGUUUGGGA
Molecule: ribosomal RNA, 195 nt
Filed under: Trichoderma erinaceum
Lineage: Eukaryota; Fungi; Ascomycota; Sordariomycetes; Hypocreales; Hypocreaceae
Description: partial large subunit ribosomal RNA
Rfam family: Eukaryotic large subunit ribosomal RNA
Source: RNAcentral